Molecule: long non-coding RNA, 249 nt
Filed under: Bos taurus (domestic cattle)
Lineage: Eukaryota; Metazoa; Chordata; Mammalia; Artiodactyla; Bovidae
Description: long non-coding RNA NONBTAT023654
Source: RNAcentral
GCUUUUUAUGAGGGUGUAUUGGCAUCAUUAUCAGAAUAACUGCUCUAUUUAUCAUUUAUAAGACUAUGUUUCCAAAUUUCUGAAAGCCUCACCUCUACUAGUGGUCAGCCUCAAACUGACAAGUAGCACAUGGCAGCAGAGCCCCUACUUCCGCCCAGAAGUGCUUGUGGAUUGAGACUGGAGUCAGAGUUUCAGGGAAGUUUAUAUGCUGAAGUAUAAAUCAGACUCUUUAAGUAUUGAUAUUUUUUC